GACGAACGCUGGCGGCGUGCUUAACACAUGCAAGUCGAACGCUGAAGCUCAGCUUGCUGGGUGGAUGAGUGGCGAACGGGUGAGUAACACGUGAGUAACCUGCCCUCUUCUUUGGGAUAACGCCCGGAAACGGGUGCUAAUACUGGAUAUUCACUGAUUCUCGCAUGGGGGUUGGUGGAAAGGUUUUUUCUGGUGGGGGAUGGGCUCGCGGCCUAUCAGCUUGUUGGUGGGGUGGUGGCCUACCAAGGCUUUGACGGGUAGCCGGCCUGAGAGGGUGACCGGUCACAUUGGGACUGAGAUACGGCCCAGACUCCUACGGGAGGCAGCAGUGGGGAAUAUUGCACAAUGGGCGAAAGCCUGAUGCAGCGACGCCGCGUGAGGGAUGGAGGCCUUCGGGUUGUAAACCUCUUUCGCUCAUGGUCAAGCCGCAGCUUUGGGUUGUGGUGAGGGUAGUGGGUAAAGAAGCGCCGGCUAACUACGUG
This 482-nucleotide ribosomal RNA is filed under the name uncultured bacterium. RNAcentral describes it as "partial 16S ribosomal RNA". It matches the Rfam family "Bacterial small subunit ribosomal RNA", at positions 28 to 507 of the family's 1533-position model. The record is from RNAcentral.